UAAUGCAUGUUUUUUAUUUAUGAUUGAUUGUAUUCGAUAUAUAGAGAUUUGGAACUUGCUGAUAAUCAUUUUUUUAUUUACAUAAAACUGAUUGUGAUACUUUAUUUUGUCAUAUUGUUGUGAAGCACCUGAAAAUAAAGGGUGAUAAGAUACUUUCUAAAAAUUAAGUUUAACUUCUGUAUGUUGUCUCAUCUGUAGGGCAAACUGUCAAUUCCUUUUCUCUAAAGUACAAUUUAAAAGUUAAUUGGUAAACAUGACUAAGUCACACGUGUUUCACUAAUGUUGGGGGAAGAAACUUCACCACUGAAGUACUGAAACAUACAUUGCUGGAAGAAAUCACCAAGGUAACAUGCAGGACGUUAAUGCUCAGCAGUCAGUUUUUCAUGCAUCUUAAAUUUUGAGAAGUGCUUCCAUUUUCUUUUCUUGGUAGUUUCUUCUAAAGAAUGCUGUAGCCCAGAACUUGGAAAAAAGAAGGCUUUUAACCGUGCUGCAGGAAUGACAGAUACUGUUAAAAGAAUGAGGCAGAUAGCAAAUAUAUUUACCUCAGUGUGGCUCCAUGAUAAUCUUCCAGUUACUUCCACUUGAUUUCUUGGCACUUCUGGAAGAAUAAAAAGAACUUGAGAAGAUUAAAAGUACUGCAGACCCCAGAGAGGAGGACAAUCAAGGAGGAAAGCCAACUGCACUGGAGUUGAGGACUUUAAGGCCUGCCUGGAUGUGAUUACUUCAGAGUGGGCCAGAAGGAGUAUUGGUACAUGGGCCCCAAAUGUAACCACCUUUGGAACACUAGAUUUGAUUUUUAGUAAUUAUUCUUCCUGCAGUAGCACUGGUUAUCAUAGUUGUAAUAUUUUACUCUUUCUACUACUGUAAAAGUGAAAAAGCUGGGAUGACUGGGUUGGACAAAUUCCAAAAGGUGGACUGAGAAGACAAGAUUGUGAUGAUGUCCCAACCCCAAGUCAAUUAGAGAAUUAGAGGUAUGCUGCUGUUUUUCUAUAUUUUUUGCUCAUUUUCACUUUAUGCUCUGGUUUGGAGAUUUAAGAAUGCCUUUGUAGCUUUGCCAGUGGCAGAGCAACUGACAAAGAUCUAGUAAAUGGCUAAGCUUUUGCUUGGAUUAUUCACAUACAUUUUGU
Molecule: long non-coding RNA, 1127 nt
Filed under: Athene cunicularia (burrowing owl)
Lineage: Eukaryota; Metazoa; Chordata; Aves; Strigiformes; Strigidae
Description: lncRNA (ENSACUG00000009770.1)
Source: RNAcentral